Molecule: ribosomal RNA, 253 nt
Filed under: uncultured bacterium
Lineage: Bacteria
Description: partial 16S ribosomal RNA
Rfam family: Bacterial small subunit ribosomal RNA
Source: RNAcentral
GACGAAGGGGGCUAGCGUUGUUCGGAAUUACUGGGCGUAAAGCGAGUGUAGGUGGUUGUCCAAGUUGGAUGUGAAAGCCUUGAGCUCAACUCAAGAAAUGCAUUCAGGACUGGGCGACUAGAGGACCGGAGAGGAUAGUGGAAUUCCCAGUGUAGUGGUGAAAUACGUAGAGAUUGGGAAGAACACCAGUGGCGAAGGCGGCUAUCUGGACGGUUUCUGACGCUAAGACGCGAAAGCGUGGGGAGCAAACAGG